This 404-nucleotide ribosomal RNA is filed under the name uncultured bacterium. Its description in RNAcentral is "partial 16S ribosomal RNA". It matches the Rfam family "Bacterial small subunit ribosomal RNA", at positions 338 to 739 of the family's 1533-position model. The record is from RNAcentral.
CCUACGGGAGGCAGCAGUGAGGAAUAUUGGUCAAUGGGCGCGAGCCUGAACCAGCCAAGUAGCGUGAAGGAUGACUGCCCUACGGGUUGUAAACUUCUUUUAUAAAGGAAUAAAGUGAGGCACGUGUGCCUUUUUGUAUGUACUUUAUGAAUAAGGAUCGGCUAACUCCGUGCCAGCAGCCGCGGUAAUACGGAGGAUCCGAGCGUUAUCCGGAUUUAUUGGGUUUAAAGGGAGCGUAGAUGGGUUGUUAAGUCAGUUGUGAAAGUUUGCGGCUCAACCGUAAAAUUGCAAUUGAUACUGGCAUGCGUGAGAACAGUGGAGGAAGGCGGAAUGCGUGGUGUAGCGGGGAAAUGCUAAGAAAGCACGAAGAACCCCGAUUGAGAAGGCAGCUUACUAAACUGCCA